UUUAUAUGAAAAAAAAGAGUGAAAAUGAACCGUUUUUUGCACGAGGAAACCCUUAAUGUUCAUUUGCAAGUCAGAAAACACACGUUUUCUGUGAUAUUUUUUCAAGAGUAAUUUUAUUUAAUAAAUAAAUUGAAAUAAUAUAAAUCUACAGACUUUAAUAUGCUUUAAUAAUCGGCGCUUAAUUUUGAAAAAAUUUGGUUUUUCUUGAUGCCGCAGUCGAUCUCCACAAGAACCACUGAAAAAGGAACCACCAAAAACCAAAAAAUAUUUAUUAGAAUAGAUGAGUACAGAUAAUGAUCAAAGGACUAGUCAAAUGUUGAUUUUUGACAAUAUGGCGGCUUACCAAAAAAUAGUAGAUUUUUGUAGAAAAGGCACUCUGAAGCCUUAAAAAUCGAAAUCUUUAUCAAAAAUCUAUUCCAUGGACCAUUAUCUACAAAUUUAUCUAAGAAGAGCUUGCUGGCCGAAAUGCCGUCAUCACAUUUGUAGUUGUGGCGCGCCCGCAUUUUCAAGCUCCCAUAUAUGAACAAUUGACCAAAAAUCGACAAAUUUAAGAAAAACAAACUAGUACUGGUAUUUUUCGCUUUUAUUUAUUU
Molecule: long non-coding RNA, 593 nt
Organism: Bactrocera oleae (olive fruit fly)
Lineage: Eukaryota; Metazoa; Arthropoda; Insecta; Diptera; Tephritidae
Source: RefSeq, a predicted model, not a curated record